AAUUAAUUCUCUCUCCACAGUGCCCCAGUGAUGGCAACACAGAAUGGCCAGCACAAUCCUGCACAGCCAGAAACCCGUGAUGGCGAGAAAAAAGAGGCCGCCCAGUACCCCUCGAACCCCCAGAAAAAUAAAUUAUCUGAGCAAUCCCA
Non-coding RNA from Cyanistes caeruleus (blue tit), 149 nucleotides. Lineage: Eukaryota; Metazoa; Chordata; Aves; Passeriformes; Paridae. The record is from RefSeq and is a predicted model, not a curated record.